UGGGGAAUAUUGCACAAUGGACGGAAGUCUGAUGCAGCAACGCCGCGUGCGGGAUGACGGCCUUCGGGUUGUAAACCACUUUUUCUCAUGACGAAGUUUUUUGACGGUAGUGGGGGAAGAAGCACCGGCUAACUACGUGCCAGCAGCCGCGGUGAUACGUAGGGUGCGAGCGUUGUCCGGAAUUAUUGGGCGUAAAGAGCUUGUAGGCGGUUUGUCGCGUCGAUAGUGCAAACUCAGUGCUUAACGCUGAGCCUGCUGUUGAUACGGGCAGACUAGAGGAAGGUAGGGGAGAAUGGAAUUCCCGGUGGAGCGGUGGAAUGCGCAGAUAUCGGGAGGAACACCGGUGGCGAAGGCGGUUCUCUGGGCCUUUCCUGACGCUGAGAAGCGAAAGCGUGGGGAGCGAACAGG
This 408-nucleotide ribosomal RNA is filed under the name Fusobacteriota bacterium. Its description in RNAcentral is "Fusobacteria bacterium partial 16S ribosomal RNA". It matches the Rfam family "Bacterial small subunit ribosomal RNA", at positions 355 to 776 of the family's 1533-position model. Lineage: Bacteria; Fusobacteriati; Fusobacteriota. The record is from RNAcentral.